RNAcentral lists this ribosomal RNA (465 nucleotides) under uncultured Klebsiella sp. RNAcentral describes it as "bacterial SSU rRNA". It matches the Rfam family "Bacterial small subunit ribosomal RNA", at positions 338 to 795 of the family's 1533-position model. The record is from RNAcentral. Lineage: Bacteria; Pseudomonadati; Pseudomonadota; Gammaproteobacteria; Enterobacterales; Enterobacteriaceae.
CCUACGGGUGGCUGCAGUGGGGAAUAUUGCACAAUGGGCGCAAGCCUGAUGCAGCCAUGCCGCGUGUGUGAAGAAGGCCUUCGGGUUGUAAAGCACUUUCAGCGGGGAGGAAGGCGGUGAGGUUAAUAACCUCAUCGAUUGACGUUACCCGCAGAAGAAGCACCGGCUAACUCCGUGCCAGCAGCCGCGGUAAUACGGAGGGUGCAAGCGUUAAUCGGAAUUACUGGGCGUAAAGCGCACGCAGGCGGUCUGUCAAGUCGGAUGUGAAAUCCCCGGGCUCAACCUGGGAACUGCAUUCGAAACUGGCAGGCUAGAGUCUUGUAGAGGGGGGUAGAAUUCCAGGUGUAGCGGUGAAAUGCGUAGAGAUCUGGAGGAAUACCGGUGGCGAAGGCGGCCCCCUGGACAAAGACUGACGCUCAGGUGCGAAAGCGUGGGGAGCAAACAGGAUUGGAUACCCGAGUAGUC